This is a long non-coding RNA of Erpetoichthys calabaricus (reedfish), 1096 nucleotides long. RefSeq lists it as uncharacterized. The transcript is spliced from 2 exons. Lineage: Eukaryota; Metazoa; Chordata; Cladistia; Polypteriformes; Polypteridae. The record is from RefSeq and is a predicted model, not a curated record.
GAUGGUAAUAUACUCUUUAUACUCAUGCACUUAUUAAAAGGACGAUUCCGAAAUUCUGUGACAGCCCAAUUGAACAAUUAAUAUUUACAAGGACAUUUUCGAAUAAAUUAGCACAAAAAUGUAACAUUUAUCAAACAUGCACAUAAAGGGUAUUUUGGGGAGCGUAGUUGUUUAACGUGUGUUUCUUUUAAAGUGAGUAAAGCUGGUAAAAGUUGCUGGAUUUGUCUGUGAGCUGAACUCGCUGUCCAUUACAGACCCCUUUGUUUCGCCUUAACAAUUGCUCUUUAUUCCCGUGCUGUACUUGGCAUCGUUUAGCUGCCUGACUCCAAACUUAACCACCCCGGUUCUUCUACUUAAAGCACUCAAAUUGCCCUCUUCUACAAAUAUAUUGUCAAAGAGAUGGACUUCACCACAUUCUGAAACAGCAAGACCAGGGGAUUUUUUUUUUGUAGUCUGCUCAGUAUUGCACGGCAACAUCACUAGAGGAUAAAGUGCUUCAAUAAGAACUAAAGUGACGGACAAAAAAGUGUCGCACGUCUAACGCUCUGCCAAUCAGACUUUUCUUCUUUUCUGAGCAACUCAUAUUGUUUAAGGUAAAGGAAAAAGACUGUAUGCCCGACGAUUUUAAAAAAUGAGUUACAGAGUACAUUUGGCUACUUAAGAAGAACGAGGUGAUGUUUUGAAUUUUUUGGAACCUGGGCAUCCAAAGGAGGAAGUGGCAAGAUGGGGGGGAAAAAAAGAAGAUGCAACCUCCAUAAAAAUACCGUUGGAACUGAAUCUUGAUCAAAGCACUGUGAAACAACAUGUCUUCCCAUUAUACCAGUGAAAGGAAAUCUACAAAAAUAAAUUAGCAAAAGCUAAUGAUAGUUUAUAAAAAAAGAACUGAGAGCAUCAUCAUCAACAUCUAUCCAAAACUACACUCUUUGCAUCUGUUUUGUGAUACCCAUUACUGGAAUGUGUAAUACUGCUACAAAACCCAGUUAUACAACUACUGGUGAACACUCAUUUAAGCUUUUGUCUCCCUCCCUAUAAAACCCAUUUGCUUGUGUCUGUUCUAAACAUUUGAUCUUCUUUGAUAUUAACCGCGACAAAGGAC